AUAGAAUAGUGCAUACAUUAAAGCAACCGCAGGCAAUGCAGUAUGUUAAUGGAAUAACUGCACAGUACAGUGACCAUGAAAAACAAGAUUAAUGAAGUCAGGCAGCAUGGACGUCCCAAGGAGUAGCAGCGAAAUCCAAGACGCAGCUUCUUCACUAGAGGUGAAUUAUUCCCCAUAAAAUGCUUUGGUAGGAGAAACUCACACAAACUACAAAACCCAAAUGCCAUAGGACAUUGGUUUCCUAAGGAAAUUCUUCCAAAAUAGGAUGCUGGGCAUUUGCAUGUAUAGUGGAGGGAGAAAGUUCCUCCUCACCUUGCCCUUAUUUUGAGAUACAAUGUGGCUUAGGAAUUCCUGGUAGAAGAGGACAAGGGAUAGGCUUGCCACUGUCUCUUUGCAUUCAAAUUUAUUCACAGUUCCUCGCUGGGAACUUCCUUAACCCCUCGCCUAAAGCAGCACUCAAUAGCUGCAAGCAAGAGCAGACAGAGCUACGCUGUUUUAAAAAUGCCUGUUGCGAGAGAGGAUCUGCGUGUAGAUACUUGAGCUACAGCUGCUACCUGACUGUUCCUAUUAGGAGGGUUGGCCAAAGUUUUCCAGUCCCAAGACUUCUUCACCCUACAUGCUAGAGGGCUAAUGAUAAGGAUUUCUUCCAUCUGAUCAUAACUGGAUCAUCUAUCAGUGCUCAAAGCAAGGGCCACUGCUUCAUUGAAAGUAUCAGAUCGGAUGAAUAAAACAGCUGUUAAAUGUUUACAUUCAUCCCCUUCAGUGCCCUGCUGUCAAGGUAUCCGUGAGCAUCUUGCACUGUUGACUAGGCUUCCUCC
RNAcentral lists this long non-coding RNA (818 nucleotides) under Gallus gallus (chicken). RNAcentral describes it as "lncRNA (ENSGALG00010014144.1)". The record is from RNAcentral. Lineage: Eukaryota; Metazoa; Chordata; Aves; Galliformes; Phasianidae.